UAUAAUAUUUUGACUCUUCGUCUUAUUUAAAUUUUUUUACGAUCAAUAUUUUUUUUAAUACAUGAUAAAACAUGAAUAGUAAUUUAUACGUGACUAUUUUUUUAAGUUUUUUAUAAUUUUUUUAAAUAAGACGAAUGAUCAAACAUUGGAUACGGAAAAAC
RNAcentral lists this microRNA precursor (161 nucleotides) under Oryza brachyantha (malo sina). RNAcentral's name for it is "MIR812 microRNA precursor family". It matches the Rfam family "MIR812 microRNA precursor family", at positions 27 to 190 of the family's 205-position model. Lineage: Eukaryota; Viridiplantae; Streptophyta; Magnoliopsida; Poales; Poaceae. The record is from Rfam by way of RNAcentral.